UCGGUCCAGAAGCACUUUACAGAACCCAAUCGGGAUUUUGUGAAGUGGGCAGCGGGAGUUCGGUCUCUCUUCCGGGUCAGGCGCUUCUUUUGGUGCACAUUGUCUGGCUCAUUGUUCGUGGAAGUAGUGGAAGGUGAUGUGAGGAAUGUUCUCUGCGAUGCUGUAGAAAGACAUCAUGCUUCACUGCUGGUCGUGGGUAGUCAUGGUUAUGGAACUAUAAAGAGGUUGAUGCUGCUUCUAAUAGAAGUC
Neltuma alba is the source of this 249-nucleotide long non-coding RNA. RefSeq lists it as uncharacterized. The record is from RefSeq and is a predicted model, not a curated record. Lineage: Eukaryota; Viridiplantae; Streptophyta; Magnoliopsida; Fabales; Fabaceae. The transcript has 3 exons.